RNAcentral lists this unclassified non-coding RNA (233 nucleotides) under Hevea brasiliensis (rubber tree). Lineage: Eukaryota; Viridiplantae; Streptophyta; Magnoliopsida; Malpighiales; Euphorbiaceae. The record is from RNAcentral.
UGCGCGAUGCACCUGAAACGUACAGGGCUAAUUUGAGGAAUGUUGCGGAUAAUUGGGCUAAUGAGGAUGAUAGGGUGAUGUAUAAGACUAACAUUGAUGAACAAAGACAAGAAAAUAUGGCCAAUGAGUUUGACCCUUUUGACUCUCAGAAUGGAAAAGAAAUUGAAACCCGAGGGAUAGGCCGAAUUACUCCAUAUAGGAGUAGUAGGCAGAGAAGUGAGGCUGAAGUGUUG